This is a transfer RNA of 104 nucleotides. It matches the Rfam family "tRNA". Rfam says of the family: Transfer RNA (tRNA) molecules are approximately 80 nucleotides in length. Their secondary structure includes four short double-helical elements and three loops (D, anti-codon, and T loops). The record is from Rfam.
GGGAGCUUGGCUCAGUUGGAAGAGCGCAGGUCUCAUACGUUUGUAUGACUGGGUGCUUACACCCAGAAAUCCUGAGGUCGUGAGUUCGAGCCUCACAGUUCCCA